UUAAUUAAUUGAAGCCAAAUAAGAGGCGUAUUACUGUUAAUAAUAUAAUUGAACUAUAAGUUCCAAUUAAG
This 71-nucleotide transfer RNA is filed under the name Fruhstorferiola omei. RNAcentral describes it as "tRNA-Asn". The record is from RNAcentral. Lineage: Eukaryota; Metazoa; Arthropoda; Insecta; Orthoptera; Acrididae.